Long non-coding RNA from Numida meleagris (helmeted guineafowl), 1177 nucleotides. RefSeq lists it as uncharacterized. NCBI's taxonomy places the organism in Eukaryota, Metazoa, Chordata, Aves, Galliformes, Numididae. The record is from RefSeq and is a predicted model, not a curated record. The transcript has 3 exons.
AGACAAGCAUCAUGUUUUCCUCCACGAGCCCAUUCUGCUCGUCCUAGCACCAUGCCAAGCCUACUCAACUCUCCAACACAUGCGUACAUGGGAGACAGCACAGAGACCCUGCAACUGCCUCCUAGCUUCCCUUGCUAUCUCAUGUAUUUGUGCAUGAUCCUGAACACACCAGCACAAAGGCACGAUGAGGCCAGCCUGCUCCCUCCCCAGGCAGAGAGAAGCUGGGAGGAGGAGGGACUGGACAGAAGAGCUUCCACCAACCUCAGCUGGCAGCAAUCACAAUUUGGCCAAAUCCAAUUAACCCACCUGCAACCCUGCUUUCUGGCAGACUGGUGACUCCAGACUGGAAGGGCUUUACAGUCUGUCCCUGCAGCCUUGACACAGUGCCAUGCUGCCCGACGCCUGCUUUGUCUCCUGGAGACAAGAAGCCUGCCUUUGGUCCAGAUUCAUGCAGUUCUACCACCCUUCAAUGUAUGUUUCCUUAGGGAUAAGAAAAUAAAACCCAGAACAUGCAGACUCUUUCUUGCCCAAAUGAAUUCACCAUUUUUUUCUGGACAUUUCUGGACCUAAAUACAUGGUAUUUCCCUUAGAAAUAAAUCUCCUCAUCCCAGGAAAAAAUAUGACAACAGAAAGCUAUUCGAUACUAUUUGUAUUUAGAACUCAACAGUUUCAAGACCAAUCUUCUUUAGUUAUUAAAGCAAGUCAGGAAGAUAGUGUGAGGAGGUUAAACUUACACUUCAAAUCCACUGCUUCUGCUAUUCAAGAGUUUUAAUACGGAUACUAUCCCAUAAACCUUUCAGCAUCAUAUUUAUGAGCAGAGGGACGCAUUUAUUUCUAUCCAUGGAAAAGAUGGAGUAGAUGACCAACACAUCACUGGUGAAAACUGCUAUGCAAUAAAAUAACCCACAGCCACCUGAAUUUAUAAAUUCUUCUAACAAAGUAACGUGUGCCAAGCCAAGCAAUUCUGAUGAAUUACAUUAGAAGCCUAUAGAUUUCACAGAAAUAACUUGCACAGAGCUGCAUCUGCGCAAAGACGUACGUGCAUUCAUGCUUCUGAAGGAAAAUAAAUUCUGACUUCUCACAUCCAGGUAUUUUCACUUGAGCAUAAACCUGUAAGAUUAUUAACUAUAAUAAAGCUCUAAAAUGGAUGCUAAAACCAUGUUUGAGGGCAGCAUCA